This 487-nucleotide ribosomal RNA is filed under the name uncultured bacterium. RNAcentral describes it as "bacterial SSU rRNA". It matches the Rfam family "Bacterial small subunit ribosomal RNA", at positions 30 to 507 of the family's 1533-position model. The record is from RNAcentral.
AUUGAACGCUGGCGGCAGGCCUAACACAUGCAAGUCGAACGGUAGCACAGAGAGCUUGCUCUUGGGUGACGAGUGGCGGACGGGUGAGUAAUGUCUGGGAAACUGCCUGAUGGAGGGGAUAACUACUGGAAACGGUAGCUAAUACCGCAUAACGUCGCAAGACCAAAGAGGGGGACCUUCGGGCCUCUUGCCAUCAGAUGUGCCCAGAUGGGAUUAGCUAGUAGGUGGGGUAACGGCUCACCUAGGCGACGAUCCCUAGCUGGUCUGAGAGGAUGACCAGCCACACUGGAACUGAGACACGGUCCAGACUCCUACGGGAGGCAGCAGUGGGGAAUAUUGCACAAUGGGCGCAAGCCUGAUGCAGCCAUGCCGCGUGUAUGAAGAAGGCCUUCGGGUUGUAAAGUACUUUCAGCGAGGAGGAAGGCGAUGCGGUUAAUAACCGUGUCGAUUGACGUUACUCGCAGAAGAAGCACCGGCUAACUCCGUG